This 497-nucleotide ribosomal RNA is filed under the name uncultured bacterium. Its description in RNAcentral is "partial 16S ribosomal RNA". It matches the Rfam family "Bacterial small subunit ribosomal RNA", at positions 28 to 507 of the family's 1533-position model. The record is from RNAcentral.
GAUGAACGCUGGCGGCGUGCCUAAUACAUGCAAGUCGAGCGAACAGACGAGGAGCUUGCUCCUCUGACGUUAGCGGCGGACGGGUGAGUAACACGUGGAUAACCUACCUAUAAGACUGGGAUAACUUCGGGAAAACGGAGCUAGUACCGGAUAAUAUAUUGAACCGCAUGGUUCAAUAGUGAAAGACGGUUUUGCUGUCACUUAUAGAUGGAUCCGCGCCGCAUUAGCUAGUUGGUAAGGUAACGGCUUACCAAGGCGACGAUGCGUAGCCGACCUGAGAGGGUGAUCGGCCACACUGGAACUGAAGCACGGGCCAGACUCCUACGGGAGGCAGCAGUAGGGAAUCAUCCGCAAUGGGCGAAAGCCUGACGGAGCAACGCCGCGGGAGUGAUGAAGGUCUUCGGAUCGUUAAACUCUGUUAUUAGGGAAGAACAAAUGUGUAAGUAACUAUGCACGUCUUGACGGUACCUAAUCAGAAAGCCACGGCUAACUUCGUG